AGCAGCCGCGGUAAUUCCAGCUCCAAUAGCGUAUAUUAAAGUUGUUGCAGUUAAAAAGCUCGUAGUUGAAUUUCGGGACCAAUUUGUUGGUCGUGCCUCGGUACGUACUGGUAUUAUUGGUUUCUCCCUUCUGGAGAACCUCGAUGUCAUUAAUUUGGUGUCGUGGGGAAUCAGGACUGUUACUUUGAAAAAUUAGAGUGUUUAAAGCAGGCAUACGCUUGAAUACAUUAGCAUGGAAUAAUGAAAUAGGACGUUUGAUUCUAUUUUGUUGGUUUCUAGGAUCGACGUAAUGAUUAAUAGGGAUAGUUGGGGGCAUUAGUAUUCAAUUGUCAGAGGUGAAAUUCUUGGAUUUAUUGAAGACUAACUACUGCGAAAGCAUUUGCCAAGGAUGUUUUCAUUAAUCAAGAACGAAAGUUAGGGGAUCGAAGACGAUCAGAUACCGUCGUAGUC
RNAcentral lists this ribosomal RNA (450 nucleotides) under uncultured Glomus. Its description in RNAcentral is "SSU rRNA". It matches the Rfam family "Eukaryotic small subunit ribosomal RNA", at positions 569 to 1025 of the family's 1831-position model. The record is from RNAcentral. Lineage: Eukaryota; Fungi; Glomeromycota; Glomeromycetes; Glomerales; Glomeraceae.